GACGAACGCUGGCGGCGUGCUUAACACAUGCAAGUCGAACGGAAAGGCCCUGCUUUUGUGGGGUGCUCGAGUGGCGAACGGGUGAGUAACACGUGAGUAACCUGCCCUUGACUUUGGGAUAACUUCAGGAAACUGGGGCUAAUACCGGAUAGGAGCUCCUGCUGCAUGGUGGGGGUUGGAAAGUUUCGGCGGUUGGGGAUGGACUCGCGGCUUAUCAGCUUGUUGGUGGGGUAGUGGCUUACCAAGGCUUUGACGGGUAGCCGGCCUGAGAGGGUGACCGGCCACAGUGGGACUGAGAUACGGCCCAGACUCCUACGGGAGGCAGCAGUGGGGAAUAUUGCACAAUGGGCGGAAGCCUGAUGCAGCAACGCCGCGUGCGGGAUGACGGCCUUCGGGUUGUAAACCGCUUUCGCCUGUGACGAACGUGAGUGACGGUAAUGGGUAAAGAAGCACCGGCUAACUACGUG
RNAcentral lists this ribosomal RNA (467 nucleotides) under uncultured bacterium. RNAcentral's name for it is "partial 16S ribosomal RNA". It matches the Rfam family "Bacterial small subunit ribosomal RNA", at positions 28 to 507 of the family's 1533-position model. The record is from RNAcentral.